AGUUGAUAGGAUCCCCUUUGUUACGUCCCCAUGUCCCCCCGUGUGGCGGGGCGAGGUCUCUGGUUCAAGUCCAGGAUGGCC
RNAcentral lists this transfer RNA (81 nucleotides) under Incarvillea lutea. RNAcentral's name for it is "tRNA-Ile". The record is from RNAcentral. Lineage: Eukaryota; Viridiplantae; Streptophyta; Magnoliopsida; Lamiales; Bignoniaceae.